This 505-nucleotide ribosomal RNA is filed under the name uncultured bacterium. RNAcentral describes it as "partial 16S ribosomal RNA". It matches the Rfam family "Bacterial small subunit ribosomal RNA", at positions 28 to 507 of the family's 1533-position model. The record is from RNAcentral.
GACGAACGCUGGCGGCGUGCCUAAUACAUGCAAGUCGAACGCACAGUUUAUACCGUAGCUUGCUACACCAUAGACUGUGAGUUGCGAACGGGUGAGUAACGCGUAGGUAACCUGCCUGGUAGCGGGGGAUAACUAGUGGACACGAAAGCUAAUACCGCAUAAUAUUAAUUAUUGUAUGAUCAUUAUUUGUAAGUUGCAAUUGCACGACUACCAGAUGGACCUGCGUUGUAUUAGCUAGUAGGUGAGGUAACGGCUCACCUAGGCGAGGAUACAUAGCCGACCUGAAAGGGGGAUCGGCCACGCUGGGACUGGAACACGGCCCAGAAUCCUACGGGAGGCAGCAGGAGGGGAUCCUCGGCAAUAGACGAAAGUCUGAACGAGCAACGCCGCGUGAGUGAAGAAGGUUGUCGGAUCGUAAAGCUCUGUUGUGAGAGAAGAUCGGGUGUGAGAGUGGAAAGUUCACACUGUGACGGUAUCUUACCAGAAAGGGACGGCUAACUACGUG